UACGUAGGUGGCGAGCGUUGUUCGGAAUUACUGGGCGUAAAGCGCACGUAGGCGGCUUUGCAAGUCAGAGGUGAAAGCCCGGGGCUCAACCCCGGAAUUGCCUUUGAGACUGCAUCGCUAGAGUUGUGGAGAGGUAAGUGGAAUUCCGAGUGUAGAGGUGAAAUUCGUAGAUAUUCGGAAGAACACCAGUGGCGAAGGCGACUUACUGGACACAUAUUGACGCUGAGGUGCGAAAGCGUGGGGAGCAAACAGG
RNAcentral lists this ribosomal RNA (253 nucleotides) under uncultured bacterium. Its description in RNAcentral is "partial 16S ribosomal RNA". It matches the Rfam family "Bacterial small subunit ribosomal RNA", at positions 524 to 776 of the family's 1533-position model. The record is from RNAcentral.